RNAcentral lists this ribosomal RNA (301 nucleotides) under uncultured bacterium. RNAcentral's name for it is "partial 16S ribosomal RNA". It matches the Rfam family "Bacterial small subunit ribosomal RNA", at positions 509 to 807 of the family's 1533-position model. The record is from RNAcentral.
CAGCCGCCGCGGGAAUACGAAGGGUGCAAGCGUUAAUCGGAAUUACUGGGCGUAAAGCGUGCGUAGGCGGUUUGUUAAGUCUGUCGUGAAAUCCCCGGGCUCAACCUGGGAAUGGCAAUGGAUACUGGCAAGCUAGAGUGUGUCAGAGGAUGGUGGAAUUCCCGGUGUAGCGGUGAAAUGCGUAGAGAUCGGGAGGAACAUCAGUGGCGAAGGCGGCCAUCUGGGACAACACUGACGCUGAGGCACGAAAGCGUGGGGAGCAAACAGGAUUAGAUACCCCGGUAGUCCCUGUCUCUUAUAC